AGAGUAUUUGCAGCUAAACAAGCCACCAGGCUGGAGGAUUAGCUGUGUGUGUGCUGGAAGCCUGCUCAAGGAGUGAAGUCCAGGUGCUGUGUUUGAUUGCAAACCACAGACUGGUGCUGUGAAUGCUGUUCACAGAAGUGCUACAGUGGCCUGACACUUGGGAGUGGUGACGAACAUGGCUGCUACUCUGAAACCUGUAAUUGUGAAGAUGACCUCAAAAGAAGACUUGGUCUAGCCUCUACUACAUUCGGAAAACGUUGCAAGAUCUGGAAGGCUAAAGACAUUUCAAUAAAAACAAAAACCCCAUGUAUAUGAGACAAUUGUCAUGCAGAUACUGCUGUCUGGGUCAGAAUGCUAGAGUCUGAAGAAAGCCGAUGACUGACAGAUUUUGACUGCAGAAAUGAACUGGCUGAGAGGAAUGCUGAGUUUCAAGGCUGCAAAAAAUAAAAAAAUGAAGAGAUAAUUAAAGAGCUAGGGCAAGAUAUAAUGCUGUUACACGAGAUUCAAGAAAGAGGGACACACGUCAAGAGUGGACCCCUAAGGGUCCUAACGAUACGUGCCAGAGUGCCAGGAACUAGCAAUAGAGGAAGACUGAAGAUGUAUUGGGUAAACAUGGUGAAAAAUAACAGAACAAAAAUGCUUAAAGAUCAAUGAAAACAUGAAGCUAGUACAAGAUAGAAAACGGUGGAAAGACUUCAUUUGUUACUGGUGCUGUUGAGCUGAGGGAUGGGGAUCAAAGAGAAGAGGAGAAGAUCUCCUUCUUUUGUUCUUCCGGUUCAUUUAAAAUGCAUCCGCUUUCCAAUGGUCAGGACAAGGAAGAUUUUAAAUAAUUCCAGAAAAUGCAUUUAGAAGCAUCUUUAAAAGUAACAUUGACAAUCAAGGAAAUAAAAUAGGAAGGCUACUUUCGCAAAGGGUGAGGAAUAAAAAUACAGAACUUGUCCCUGUGCUCAACUUACAGGUGAACCCUGGAAAAAACCUAGAACCUGAUUUAACACCUAUACCCAUGUAUUCCUAUAGACAUUGUAUGGGAACCUUUCCAUUAGACUUCAAUGGACAUUGGAUCAGGCUGCUAUUGUGUAUAUAUAAAAGCACAGUAGCAGCUUUGCUAAAAUAUGCACUUUGGUUCACCCCCAUAGUUUGUAGCAGAGCUGACCCAUAGGUGAUAACUCUUGGAAACAGGAAUUCUCCCCCUCCAUGUUUGUUUUAAAUGAAAUUGCAUUCAACUACUCCCAUGUCCUGCUCCAAUUCUCGCCUCAGGCCAUGUCUACUAAAAGCAUCACAAGUUGAAAUAUCCGGAUGUCUAGCAUAUGCUCAUUAGGGACAUGAAAUCCUGUCCUGGGGUGCUGAAAAGCAUAAUAUUAUUAAUGAAGAUAUCUGUAGUGGAAACAGAAGAUUCUGAAUUUUUCAAUGUUGAACAUAUGAAAAGGAAAAUAAGACAUUCCAAGACCCACUGGAAACUUACAAGGCAAACAACAGCUUGGAGCAACAACAUUCUCAUUCUCCAAGGCUUUCGUAAAGAAUGCGCAGAUUUCAUUUGAAUAUCUGCUGCAUUUGAAAAUUACUUUUCUAAUAUGAAGGGCAUU
Molecule: long non-coding RNA, 1583 nt
Organism: Chelonia mydas (Green sea turtle)
Lineage: Eukaryota; Metazoa; Chordata; Testudines; Cheloniidae
Exons: 3
Source: RefSeq, a predicted model, not a curated record